Molecule: small RNA, 109 nt
Filed under: Marmota monax (woodchuck)
Lineage: Eukaryota; Metazoa; Chordata; Mammalia; Rodentia; Sciuridae
Source: RNAcentral
GCCAGGUGCGGUGGUAUACACCUGUAAUCCCAGUGAAGAGUGGGAGGCUGAGGUGGGAGGAUUGCAAGUUUGAGGCCAGCCUCAGCAACUUAGUGAGACCCUGUCUCAA